GGAUGGAGUUUCAUGAUCUGUUGGAUAUACCUCAAGGAGAUAGAAGGAAGUACCAUGAUGAUGUCUCUGUGAUGGUUGUGUCUCUUGAAGGAAGGAUUUGGCGAUCGUCUGGACAAUAUUAUCCUGAGAGAAAACCAAAAUUCAAUAGAUGAAUUUAACAACCAGUUGAACAAAAAAAAGAAGUUAAGGUGUAAUUGGGUUAUUGUUUUCAAACAAUCUUUCAAUUUCCAAAAAGUAAAAGAAGGAAAGGUCUAAGUCUACUUAUAUUGCUUCCAUAACCUCAUCUUUGUUUUCAAUAGAAGGUUAGAUAAAAUUGGUUAAAUGUAGAUGAUAAUUCGAGAAAUUGAUAGGCGGUAACUAAUUGUUUUAUAAAGAAUUAUUGACUAAGCGGAUUAUUUGGGGUUUAGGUGUUAACUGAUAUUGAUAUAUAUUUACAUAUAUGUUAAAUAUUUUAUUUUUUUGCUCAGUUAUAAAUUUGUUUUGAUGAACUAUAAAAACUAGUAUAGAAAAAAUAUUUACACAAAUUUAUGGAUUUGUACUAAUAUUAUUAGUUAAUUAAAUAAAUUUAGAUCAGUUUUUAACUCUUUAUACUAACGGAUUAAACUGAUUUUAAUUGUAUAAAUCGGAUAUUUUAAAAAUUGUACAAAUCUCUUUCUAUUGCUUCUGCAUCCAUGAUCUUGUUCUCAACACAACAACUAACAUCAUAAAGGUUUAAGGUUUCUUAUUUAUUAUCAUUGGAGUCUCUGAGAGAGAAAGAGGGUUUCUAUCCAUAUCACUUUUGGAGUCUCUGAGCGAGAAAGAGGUUUUGUCACUCAACUUCGUCUCUUGGUCGGUUACAGAGUCAGGCGCGUAUGAGUCGUUGUGAGCCGUUAAUUCACGAUAUUUCGUCUUUAUUCGUAUUGACUGUUUUGGGCGGAGGAAAUCAAAAACUGCCUUCUUCUCCCUUUAUUCAAUGGUUGCUCACCAAUCUGAAUCUCUCGUCUCACCAUACGAUUCACUAUGUUGUCUCUUCGAAGCCUCACUAGCUUCGUCGCUCUCCCAUCGCCAAUCAAUCCCUCUCCCUAUUCGCGUCGUCCCUCAGUUCGCUGCCGUCUCACCGAGGCUGCUGCAGCUUUUGAAGUGGUCUCCGGAGAGUCAGACCGUGCGAUUGCCAGUAGCUUGACUGAGCUCCAAAACGGCGGUGGCUGGAAGGUGGAACCAGAGCAGCUUCCUCCUCCCACGGCGGAAGAUGGCGGCGAAGGAGAAGCUGAAAAGGAAGAAGAGAGGAUUUCGAGUGUCCAUGUUCCUCGUGAGAAGUACAUCAACGUCUCCAAGUCUGAUCUCGUUAACGCCGUUGUAACGACGUUACUCGAUUCACAAGACGGAGACGCUGACAUCUUUCUCCUCCUUGCCACGUAAGCCGACUUUUAUAAAAAUCCUUAAGCAAUGCAUCAUCUUAGGCUUCGAAUGUUUUAAUUCGCACGGGCCGCAGUUAACAACAGUAACAAAAAUCUUUGCAUUUUAUAACUGUUUGAACCGCAGUUGUACCGCUUGUCCUCAUUCGGAGCCUUAGUUAGUUAGUAAUUUGAAUCUCUCUCGCUCGCUUUAGGUGCUUGGACUCUAUCCUUCACGCGGAGCACAAGAAGGUCUUAGAGCAGAUGAGAGCCGAUUUCGUCGCCACUCAGUCUCUCGAGAAGGUAAACAUUGGUGACGAUGAGAGCUCUACUACUUCAGGUAGAGAGACUGACUCAGAUGAUGAAACAAAUAAAACUGAACCUGGGAGUGUUGUUAAUGGAUACGAGGGUUUAUCAUUCCCUCUGGCUGAUGGUUUUGAUAUUUGGAACUUUUUGAUUUCCACUGGUAAACAAGCAAAGAGACGUUCUGCUGAAAGGUAGUAUUACAACCUAUCCUGAGAGGUUUUGAGGAUUAACAUGCCAUGAAAAUCAAAGUCUGAAUAUAGAUUGGUGAUAUUUUUUCGAAUGCAGUGUUACUGCUGCGACUCGGUUCCAGCGUUCCUUUAUUCAGCUUCUCGACAGUGCCGGUUUUGAAGAGCUUUCUGCUAGGGAUUUGGCUCUGACGUCGGCUCUCAACACGGAUUACCUUCUUACUUUGCCUGUUUACGUUGAUUGGAACAAGGCAUCAGAGUCCAAUGCUAUUGUUUUCAGGUUUAAUUUAAUAUAUCUUUUGAUGCGUUUGUACAUUUUGCUAUCUAGCUUUGAAUACUGCAAACCACUUCUAUUACCCUCUUGGGUCUGUGUAAGAACAUUUAGUAACUUCCUAGUGUCUGCGGUAGGUUCUGUGGUCCAAAUUUAUUUAUUAAUUGUAGAGCGUAUUUCAGGGUUCAUGUUCAGUUUGCAAACGUUGGCGUCUUGUCGGAUAAUCUGCUCAUGAAUUAAUCUUUUUAUAGGCGUGGAUAUGCAACUGAGAAGCAGAAGGGUUUGUUACUUGUGGAGAAGCUAGACUAUAUCCAGUCUGUAGUUCUACGAGGAAUCUUCUCUACUAUUUCAAAACCCCUGAGAAAAGUUGGAAAAUUGAUAAACAAGGUCUGACCCCUCUUAAGUGAGGCAAAAUAACUAUGUUAUUUAGUUGAUAAACUUCAAUAACGUUUUUUUUUUUCUCAAAAAUUUCAUGAACAGGCAUUAAGUGAGGCUUCCCAAACUCAAGAAAUUCAAGAUUUGUCUGAGAGAAUGAAAGUUUGGCUCAAGGAGUUGUCUCUUUUUAAGGAAUCAUAUCUAGACCUAGCCCAAACCUCUGAUAAGUUCUUGGAAGGUGAGUCCCUCUCAGAUUCAGUCCUCCCAAUGCGGUUAGCAGCAAAAAGAGCAGUCAGUCGGUGAAGACCACCCGGAGAGUUGUCUAGAGAGCAACCGUCACUUGCAGUGGGCUCAUGGGAGAGCUGGAGAAGACAGGGUUCAUGUUGUGCUUUCGGAGGAGCAAGGAUGGCUUUUCAUAGGGAUAUAUGAUGGGUUUAGUGGACCGGAUGCUCCGGACUUCGUGAUGAGUCAUCUGUACAAAGCUAUAGACAAGGAACUGGAAGGUCUUCUCUGGGUUUAUGACGAGCCAUCUGAAGAUAAUCCAUUGCAGCCAGACCAGGAACCUCAUUCUACUACACAGGGUAACUUGUUAGUUCCUGAAACUAUCAGUGAGCAGCAUUCAAAGUCAGCACAAGAAGGAAGUGAAGAGGUUAUGACUGAUAAUAACAGUAGCCUUGAAAAUGCCGAUGGUCCACCUGGAAAUUUAGCAGGUCCUGGCAAGAAAAGCACGAGGCUUUACGAGCUACUUCAAUUGGAACGGUGGGAUGGAGAAGAAGUGGGACUUAAACAUUCUGUAAGUGAUAUGACCAAUCAGGUUGAAGAUGCAUCUACUUCAGGUGGAAAUGAUCAGUGUACCAACGAGAACACCGUUCUUGAUGAGAUUCCAAACUCAGGGCAACUCCAUGGGACUAAAAAAUCACAGAUAAGCUCAAAGAUAAGAAGAAUGUAUCAAAAACAAAAGUCUUUACGGAAAAAGCUGUUUCCUUGGAGUUAUGAUUGGCACAGGGAAGAAGAAGGGACGACGACUUGCGUUGAAGAGAAGAUCGUAGAGUCAUCAGGACCGAUUAGGAGACGCUGGUCAGGAACCGUAGACCAUGAUGACGUGCUAAGAGCAAUGGCUAGAGCGCUAGAAAGCACUGAGGAGGCUUACAUGGACAUGGUGGAGAAGUCUCUUGAGAUAAACCCGGAGCUUGCGCUAAUGGGUUCAUGCGUUCUCGUAAUGCUAAUGAAGGAUCAAGAUGUUUACGUCAUGAAUGUUGGUGAUAGUCGAGCUAUCUUGGCUCAGGAAAGGCUCCAUGAUCGUCAUUCUAAUCCAGGGUUUGGAGUUGAGGAAGGUAUGGGGCAUAAGAGUAGGUCGAGAGAGUCGCUAGUGCGUAUGGAACUAGAUAGAAUAUCAGAAGAAUCUCCAAUACACAAUCUAACCACUCAGAUUAGUGUCUCGAACAAAAACAGAGAUGUGACUUCUUACCGGUUAAAGAUGAGAGCUGUUCAACUCUCAAGUGACCAUAGCACAAGUGUGGAAGAGGUAAACUAAGUUUAUGAUUUGCCAAAUUCAAUCAUAGCUCUCUGAUUUGUUUAUGUGUUUUCAGGAAGUUUCGAGAAUUAGAUCCGAACAUCCAGAAGAUGAGCAGUCCAUACUCAAAGACAGAGUCAAAGGCCAGCUCAAAGUCACCAGAGCUUUCGGUGCUGGUUUUCUCAAAAAGGUAAGAGAGACAAAUCCUCCUCAAAACUUUCAUAACCAAAGUACUUUCCGUCUCUGAAUAAUUAAUGUUGUUUGCAGCCGAGUUUCAACGAAGCUUUGCUUGAGAUGUUCAGAGUAGACUACAUUGGAACAGAUCCGUACAUCAGCUGCGAACCGUGUACUGUCCAUCACAGGCUCACUUCAAGCGAUCGGUUCUUGGUUUUAUGCUCUGAUGGACUGUAUGAAUACUUCAGCAACGAAGAGAUAGUUGCUCACGUGACUUGGUUCAUUGAAAACGUUCCUGAUGGUGAUCCUGCUCAAUACCUCAUUGCAGAGCUUCUCUCUCGUGCAGCCACCAAGAACGGUAACAGUUUUGAACAUCAAAUGAUCAUCGGUUUUGGUUGACCUUGUGAAAAUGAAACCAGCGUUUCCAUGUGAUGUGUGUAUAUUGCAGGGAUGGAGUUUCAUGAUCUGUUGGAUAUACCUCAAGGAGAUAGAAGGAAGUACCAUGAUGAUGUCUCUGUGAUGGUUGUGUCUCUUGAAGGAAGGAUUUGGCGAUCUUCUGGACAAUAUUAUCCUGAGAGAAAACCAAAAUUCAAUAGAUGAAUUUAACAACCAGUUGAACAAAAAAAAGAAGUUAAGGUGUAAUUGGGUUAUUGUUUUCAAACAAUCUUUCAAUUUCCAAAAAGUAAAAGAAGGAAAGGUCUAAGUCUACU
This 4907-nucleotide long non-coding RNA is filed under the name Brassica napus (rape). Its description in RNAcentral is "long non-coding RNA (BNAP_LNC014772)". Lineage: Eukaryota; Viridiplantae; Streptophyta; Magnoliopsida; Brassicales; Brassicaceae. The record is from RNAcentral.